AAGACGCACCUCGAACCAGCAGCGCGGUGGUGCUGUGGACUUGAACUUCCUGAAUGCUGAGGAGGGUGAGCCUGCUACUGCACCAAAGACUGGUAACAAGAGAAAGAAACGCGGAGCUACCUAUGAGGAAGAAGAUGUUUCUAUUCCUCAUAUCUAUGUCUCUCCUAUGAAUGGUGUCCUCGCGGUCUCGCACUCGCCUAUCGAUGUUAACCCGGAAGAGUUUGACAGCUACCUGAACUCUCUUGAUAACCUGAUGCAGCAGCCUCCAGAAGAGGUUGGGCGAGACUCGUCUGUUCUUGUUAGUGUUAGCUCUCCAAUGAGAGAAUACGAAUGGGCUGAAGCUCGAAUGAAGAUUUCAUCUCUUCUGGAGAAGGAUUUCACUACUCUGUUCCUCUCCAAAGACGCAGCAGAGAUAGCAGCAUUAGCAACUAAACUGAGGAAAGAUCCAAACCUUACUGCUGAAGAGAUAGUAAGAUUGAAGCUGAUGGAAGAGAUUCCAACGUUCAGCGAAGUGUUCCAAGAGAACAAAGGGGUGAUUGAAGAAGCAGAUCGGUUUUUCUCUGCGCUGGAGCUCAACAAAGCCAAGGUAGCAUCGCUUAAAUACGAAUACAGCGACCUGAAGGAAAAACUAGGGAGUAUCCAAAUGGAAGUAGACACAAACUCUGAGACAAUCCGUCAAAUCGAUGACCAAAUCGCUCAGCUUCAAGCCAGACGGUCUGAGUUGAAGCGGUACAUCGGGACCAAGGAGAAAGAGAGGGUUGAUCUAAGCUACGGUCAGAAAAUGGUAGCGAACUCGAUCCCGAAAGUUGUGCAGGAAGUUCAAUCAGCUAAUUCAAAGAAGCCUGAAUGGGAAUGUAAGAAGGACAAUGCACUCAAACGUGAAGCAGAGAUCCUCUCUAAAUUCACUCCUCUCAAAGGCUUCUUCCUCUAAAUCUGGCCUCCUCCUGUAUCCUUUAUAACCUUUAGCCAGUCUUGUUGUGUCAUGUAGCUUUUUGGUUUAUGUUGCAAGAGUCUUGAAACUUAUUUUAGACUUGGGCCU
This 1039-nucleotide long non-coding RNA is filed under the name Arabidopsis lyrata. Its description in RNAcentral is "long non-coding RNA (ALYR_LNC002367)". Lineage: Eukaryota; Viridiplantae; Streptophyta; Magnoliopsida; Brassicales; Brassicaceae. The record is from RNAcentral.